RNAcentral lists this ribosomal RNA (247 nucleotides) under uncultured bacterium. Its description in RNAcentral is "partial 16S ribosomal RNA". It matches the Rfam family "Bacterial small subunit ribosomal RNA", at positions 523 to 769 of the family's 1533-position model. The record is from RNAcentral.
AUACGUAGGGGGCGAGCGUUAUCCGGAUUUACUGGGUGUAAAGGGAGCGUAGGUGGCAUAGCAAGUCAGAAGUGAAAACCAGGGGCUCAACCCCUGGACUGCUUUUGAAACUGCCAGGCUAGAGUGCUGGAGAGGUAAGCGGAAUUCCUAGUGUAGCGGUGAAAUGCGUAGAUAUUAGGAGGAACACCAGUUGCGAAGGCGGCUCUCUGGACUGUAACUGACACUGAGGCACGAAAGCGUGGGGAGC